GCCGGUCCUCGGUCGUGGUCUCCGGGAGCGCAAGCUGCGGAGGCUUCCAUCGAAGACCGGC
Molecule: non-coding RNA, 61 nt
Organism: Acidothermus cellulolyticus 11B
Lineage: Bacteria; Bacillati; Actinomycetota; Actinomycetes; Acidothermales; Acidothermaceae
Source: Rfam